Molecule: RNA transcript, 4027 nt
Organism: Triplophysa rosa
Lineage: Eukaryota; Metazoa; Chordata; Actinopteri; Cypriniformes; Nemacheilidae
Gene: znf76
Gene name: zinc finger protein 76
Exons: 15
Source: RefSeq, a predicted model, not a curated record
UGCUGCGUGCGCGCGCGUCGGUCUGCUGGUGGCGUGUUAUGGAGGGUUUGGGUGUUCAGGCCGUGACUCUGUCUGACGGGUCGACGGCGUUCCUCCAGCAGAACGCCAGCGAUGGGAGUGUCCUGGAGGGAAACACCGUUCAACUGGAGGACGGAUCCACAGCGUUCAUACAACAUAUCACACUUCAACAGAAAGAGUCGCUGGCGUUCGAGGACGGUCAGGCGGUGCAGUUGGAGGACGGCUCGACAGCGUUCAUUCAUCACGCACCUAAAGCAGGUUAUGACCCCAGCGCAGUGGAGGCCGUUCAGCUGGAGGACGGCAGUACCGCGUACAUCCAUCAUCCGUCCUCUCUGGAGAACUACAGUGAUACGGUGAUGAGGUCAGAGGUUGAGAUCGAUGACAACGGCGAGGACAGAGACACAACGGAGCAGACCGGCAUACAGCUGAUGGUGUGGAGCUCCAGUAAAGCUCAUCAGGUGGCUGAGAAAAGUUUCCGCUGCGCUCACGCGGACUGCGAUCGACACUACACCACAGCACAUCAUCUGAAGGUGCACGAGCGCUCUCACACAGGUGACCGGCCGUACAGGUGCGAGGUUCCCACCUGCAGUAAAGCGUUCGCCACGGGUUACGGUCUGAAGAGUCACGCGAGGACACACACCGGAGAAAAACCUUACAAGUGUCCUGAAGACAUGUGUCACAAAGCCUUCAAGACGUCUGGAGACCUGCAGAAGCACCUGCGCACACACACAGGUGAGAAACCCUUCAAGUGUCCGUUUGAGGGCUGCGGUCGUUCCUUCACAACAUCAAACAUUCGUAAAGUUCACACGCGCACACACACGGGCGAGAGACCCUACCUGUGUCCUGAACCCUCCUGUGGAAGAGCCUUCGCCAGCGCCACCAACUACAAGAACCACAUGAGGAUACACACUGGAGAGAAGCCGUAUGUGUGUACGGUUCCGGGCUGUGGGAAGAGUUUCACCGAGUAUUCCAGUCUUUAUAAACAUCACGUGGUGCACACACACUGUAAGCCGUACACGUGCGGUCACUGCGGGAAGACGUACAGACAGACGUCUACACUGGCCAUGCACAGACGCACAACACAUGGAGACUUCUACACGGCCGCUGACGACGCAGACGUGUUCGACGGCUCGCCGCAGGCCGCUGCUGAGCAGGAAACCGAUGUUAAGGUUACCAUGGAAACAGGCGGCAUCCCCACCUCACAGGUACUCGGCACAGCCGUCGCCAUGGUAACGCAGGACGGAACAACCAGCGCUGGACAGCAGCAUGUCACCAUGGUUACUGACGGCAAAGAGCUGCAGCCGGUUGCCAUAGUAACAUCAGAUGGCAUCAUGACGGAGGUGAAGGCGUAUCAGCAGGUGGCGCUGUUGGCCACAGAGAACGGCACACAGAUCGCAGUACAGUUAGAAGACCAGCAGAUGUUAGAGGAGGCGAUCACCAUGGCAACAGCAGCGAUCCAGCAGGGCGGGCUGACCUCAGAUCAGUGACCACUGCACAUCACAGACACCUCAGAAUGUUUGUAGCUUUUUUACUGGUUUCAGCACAUGGUGUGUGUGUUCAUAAUAAAAUAUAUUUGUUUAUAAAAGUGUCUGAUCAUCACCAUAAAUAGUUUAUCAUCAUAAACUAAUGUUUACCACCUGCAGGGGUCAGAGUUCAGCUGCAGUUCUGCCGUGUGGCCUGCAGGGGUCAGUUACUGAUCUGAAGUCAGUGGAAACUUUUUUAGUGUUUACCGUAAAACACACACACACACAUAUAAAUAAGGACAUCCUACACGACAACCCACGUGACAAAUAUAAAACUUCAUUUGCGGUAUAACGAAGAAAAUGUAGUUUUCUCACUGACUGAAGAGAUUUAGCUAAACUAAAUACCCACGUGUAAUGUUUUUAUUUCUUCAUGAACUAUGCUCUUAAGACUGAUCUUGAAAUCUGAUUUGAUUCAGUGUUAAACAUUUGCGUGAACGUUUCCCCAAAUAUUCCUGUGACGUGUUUUUAAAAGUAGAAACUGAAUGUGAGUUGAGUUACGUUGAGUUCCUCUUUUUAUUUCAACACACACACACACACACACACACACACACACACACACACACACUUGUGUUCUGUCUGUUCUACCCCAACAACAGUCUCUGAUUGGUUGAACUGCUGUGACGUCAGUGAAUGACAAGCGAGAAGGAAAAACCAGCGGCUUUGGGGUUUCCUCAGUGUGUAUUUAGGAGAGAGAGAGAGAGAGCGCAAACAGAAAUGUGUCAAAACAUUCUGAAAACAGAAAAAGGGAAAUAUGUCAAACACUAUCUGAAAGCUGUCUGUGGUUAAACAGAGAAUAUAAAGGGGCAGAAUACCUCACAAGCGCAUCAGACCCUAAAGUGAGAAAAGUGUUGAGCGCGUGCACACUCACACACAUGGACACCAAGAGAAGAGCGUCUGUGUCCACACUGCACACACAAUCAUCUCGUGUCCAAACUACACACACAUCACAGAAACAUUCUGCACCAGUUUACAAACUUCCACACAGACUUUAACCAGUUCAACCAAACAUUUCAGACAUGCAUACGUCAAGUCCUGCCACGACAAAACAACACGACACAACACACACAAACUGAUCCUGUCACCCUCACUGAGAACUGACAGCAAUACUUUGCUCUUUUCUCUUUAUAUUGAGAUGUAUAUAUAGAUACUUAUAUACUUUUAUUUGAUCUUAAUCUGUAUUUAUGCAUGUUUAUAUUUCAUUUUCCUGUGCUUUGGCAAUGUAAACACUUGUUUUAUGAUGCCAAUAAAGCUUCUUUGAAUCUCUUGAGAGAGAAUACCUCUCACACACACAGUGUGUACAACACAAACACCAUACAGCACGAGUUGGGUCUGUUAUUGCACAUGUGAGGAAAGUUAAGACUGUGUGUGCGUGCGCGCGCGCGUGCGUUAGGCCGGAUUCACAUUUCGCGUCUUUUCCGCGCGCAUAUUCGUUAUUUUAAAUGUAGACUAUAUAAUAGGAAAUAGGGGGCGACGCGCUCUUUUGUCAGGCGCGUCGGCGCCACAUCGAGAUGAAAAUCUCAACUUUUCAGAAAGGCGCAAGCGCACCGCAGGUCACGUGACAAGAACCAACCAGCCAAUACAGACAAGCUCAAUGAAGAUGGAGACAGAUGAUCACAGCAUAACUAAAUCUAGUAGCAGAGUUAUUGCAAGAACCAACAGGGAUCACACUUGUUGAGCGAACAUGAGAACUGAUCUCAGAUCUGCCCGGAUACGAGCGCUCAUCGGCCAAUCACAUCUCAGAUCUGAGCGUAAGGGCGAGUAACCCCGGCAGCUGGGGGUCAGAGGUCAAUCUCCUGUUUGCAGUGCAGCUCGUAUCAAAACCUGUGAGGACUCAAGGAGAAAUGACUUCCUGAACAGAUCUGAGAUCAGUUGAUCACGUCAUGAGGAGUCUCUCUUUGUCUCGGAUUCAUUCAGAUGAAUGUGUGUGUGUGAGGGGGGGUGUUAGACAAUAGUGUGAGACUCCAUAUGUGUGUAGUCUCUUGUUAAAGCCAUCUGCCUGAAUCGCCCCCCACGCACACACAGAAGAUAUUUCGAGAAAUGUCUCAGUGGGUUUGUGUUCAAACAAUGGACAUCAAUGAAGUUCAGCAUUGUUUUAUUAUCAACAUUCUUCAAGAUAUGUUCUUUUGUGCUCUAUAGUAGAAAGAAACUCAAAGUUUGAGUAAACCAUGAAAGUUUUCUUAUUUUCGGACAGUCCGUUGUCAAUUCUGCGAGAGCCACGUGCGACACAAACAGAAACGUUUCAUUCAUAAAAUGUUUAUUAUAAUAAAAACUGACUGUACAGCUCUUCAUCUGCACAACAAUGCAUUUCUUAAAAAACAAAAAUGUACAAUAAAAGUUUCAAAUAGCUUACAAACUACAUUAACUCUCUGUCUAGAACAAGCUGCUCAGCAGCCCGUGUGACAUGUGCUACAGACUUUACUGGCACUCAUAACAACCAACCAACAGACCACAUGCAAAGCAUUCUGGGAGAAAACCACUCUUCCUCC